UGCAGUUGGUGGUGACUUGGGGAGGGAGGGAGGGAUGUUUUGUGUUUUUGUGUUUGUGUUUGUACUGUUUAAAAGAAAAAUGGAAAUAAAAAAUGUUAAUCAUAAAAAAAAAUCACUGUCCAAAACCUUUGUAGGAACUCUUUUCCAACCUUUUGGAGUUAGUUAGACCUAAAAAAAACGAAAAAUGAAAAAAAAAUGUUUGGGGUGUUCGGUCUUCCUGAAGGUAAUACCCGGGUAUUAGGUUAUGGGGCUAGGGUAAGGUUUUUGGCGUUAGGGUUAAAAUCACUGUCCAAAACCUUUGUAGGAACUCUUUUCCAACCUUUUGGAGUUAGUUAAACCCAAAAAAAAAUGGAAAAUGAAAAAGAAAUAUUUGGGGUAUUUGGGCUUCCUGAAGGUAAUACUCGGGUAUUAGGUUAUGGGGCUAGUGAAAGGUUUCAGGUUUUUGGCGUAAGGGUUAAAAUCACUGUCCAAAACCUUUGUAGGAACUCUUUUCCAACCUUUUGGAGUUAGACCAGAAAAAAAAUGAAAAAUGAAAAAAAAAAUAUUUGGGGUUUUCGGGCUUUCUGAAGGUAAUACCCGGGUAUUAGGUUAUGGGGCUAGGGUAAGGUUUAAGGUUUUUGGCGUUAGGGUUAAAAUCACUGUCCAAAACCUUUGUAGGAACUCCUUUCCAACCUUUUGGAGUUAGUUAAACCAAAAAAAAAAUUGUAAAAUGAAAAAGAAAUAUUUGGGGUGUUCGGGCUUCCUGAAGGUAAUACCCAGGUAUUAGGUUAUGGGGCUUUGGUAAGGUUUAAGGUUUUUGGCAUUAUGGUUAAAAUCACUGUCCAAAACCUUUGUAGGAACUCUUUUCCAACCUUUUGGAGUUAGUUAGACCUAAAAAAAACGAAAAAUGAAAAAAAAAUGUUUGGGGUGUUCGGUCUUCCUGAAGGUAAUACCCGGGUAUUAGGCUAUGGGGCUAGGGUAAGGUUUUUGGCGUUAGGGUUAAAAUCACUGUCCAAAACCUUUGUAGGAACUCUUUUCCAACCUUUUGGAGUUAGUUAAACCCAAAAAAAAAUGGAAAAUGAAAAAGAAAUAUUUGGGGUAUUUGGGCUUCCUGAAGGUAAUACUCGGGUAUUAGGUUAUGGGGCUAGUGAAAGGUUUCAGGUUUUUGGCGUAAGGGUUAAAAUCACUGUCCAAAACCUUUGUAGGAACUCUUUUCCAACCUUUUGGAGUUAGACCAGAAAAAAAAUGAAAAAUGAAAAAAAAAAUAUUUGGGGUUUUCGGGCUUCCUGAAGGUAAUACCCGGGUAUUAGGUUUUGGGGCUAGGGUAAGGUUUAAGGUUUUUGGCGUUAGGGUUAAAAUCACUGUCCAAAACCUUUGUAGGAACUCCUUUCCAACCUUUUGGAGUUAGUUAAACCAAAAAAAAAAUUGUAAAAUGAAAAAGAAAUAUUUGGGGUGUUCGGGCUUCCUGAAGGUAAUACCCAGGUAUUAGGUCAUGGGGCUUUGGUAAGGUUUAAGGUUUUUGGCAUUAUGGUUAAAAUCACUGUCCAAAACCUUUGUAGGAACUCUUUUCCAACCUUUUGGAGUUAGUUAGACCUAAAAAAAACGAAAAAUGAAAAAAAAAUGUUGGGGUGUUCGGGCUUCCUGAAGGUAUUAGGUUAUGGGGCUAGGGAAAGGUUUAAGGUUUUUGGCGUUAGGGUUAAAAUCACUGUCCAAAACCUUUGUAGGAACUCUUUUCCAACCUUUUGGAGUUAGUUACACCAAAAAAAAAAUUUGUAAAAUGAAAAAGAAAUAUUUGGGGUGUUUGGUCUUCCUGAAGGUAAUACCCGGGUAUUAGGUUAAGGGGCUAGUGAAAGGUUUAAGGUUUUUGGCGUUAGGGUUAAAAUCACUGUCCAAAACCUUUGUAGGAACUCUUUUCCAACCUUUUGGAGUUAGUUAGAUCAGAAAAAUAAUGAAAAAUGAAAAAAAAAAUAUUUGGGGUUUUCGGGCUUUCUGAAGGUAACACCCAGGUAUUAGGUUUUGGGGCUAGGGUAAGGUUUAAGUUUUUUGGCGUUAGGGUUAAAAUCACUGUCCAAAACCUUUGUAGGAACUCCUUUCCAACCUUUUGGAGUUAGUUAAACCAAAAAAAAAAUUGUAAAAUGAGAAAGAAAUAUUUGGGGUGUUCGGGCUUCCUGAAGGUAAUACCCGGGUAUUAGGUUAUGGGGCUUUGGUAAGGUUUAAGGUUUUUGGCGUUAGGGUUAAAAUCCCUGUCCAAAACCUUUGUAGGAACUCUUUUCCAACCUUUUGGUGUUAGUUAGACCUAAAAAAAAACGAAAAAUGAAAAAAAAAUGUUUGGGGUGUUCGGGCUUCCUGAAGGUAAUACCCAGGUAUUAGGUUAUGGGGCUAGGGUAAGGUUUAAGGUUUUUGGCGUUAGGGUUAAAAUCACUGUCCAAAACCUUUGUAGGAACUCUUUUCCAACCUUUUGGAGUUAGUUAGACCAAAAAAAAAUGAAAAAUGAAAAAAAAAUAUUUGGGGUUUUCGGGCUUUCUGAAGGUAAUACCCGGGUAUUAGGUUAUGGGGCUAGGGUAAGGUUUAAGGUUUUUGGCGUUAGGGUUAAAAUCACUGUCCAAAACCUUUGUAGGAACUCUUUUCCAACCUUUUGGAGUUAGUUAGACCAAAAAAAAAAAAAAAUGAAAAAAAAAUAUUUGGGGUGUUCGGGCUUCCUGAAGGUAAUACCCGGGUAUUAGGCUAUGGGGCUAGGGUAAGGUUUUUGGCAUUAUGGUUAAAAUCACUGUCCAAAACCUUUGUAGGAACUCUUUUCCAACCUUUUGGAGUUAGUUACACCAAAAAAAAAAUUGUAAAAUGAAAAAGAAAUAUUUGGGGUAUUUGGGCUUCCUGAAGGUAAUACUCGGGUAUUAGGUUAUGGGGCUAGUGAAAGGUUUCAGGUUUUUGGCGUAAGGGUUAAAAUCACUGUCCAAAACCUUUGUAGGAACUCUUUUCCAACCUUUUGGAGUUAGUUAGACCAAAAAAAAAAUGAAAAAUGAAAAAAAAAAUAUUUGGGGUGUUCGGGCUUCCUGAAGGUAAUACCCGGGUAUUAGGUUAUGGGGCUAGGGUAAGGUUUAAGGUUUUUGGCGUUAGGGUUAAAAUCACUGUCCAAAACCUUUGUAGGAACUCUUUUCCAACCUUUUGGAGUUAGUUAAACCAAAAAAAAAAUUGUAAAAUGAAAAAGAAAUAUUUGGGGUGUUCGGGCUUCCUGAAGGUAAUACCCAGGUAUUAGGUUAUGGGGCUUUGGUAAGGUUUAAGGUUUUUGGCGUUAGGGUUAAAAUCACUGUCCAAAACCUUUGUAGGAACUCUUUUCCAACAUUUUGGAGUUAGUUAGACCGGAAAGAAAUGAAAAAUGAAAAAAAAAUAUUUGGGGUUUUCGGGCUUUCUGAAGGUAAUACCCAGGUAUUAGGUUACGGGGCUAGGGUAAGGUUUAAGGUUUUUGGCGUUAGGGUUAAAAUCCCUGUCCAAAACCUUUGUGGGAACUCUUUUCCAACCUUUUGGAGUUAGUUAGACCAAAAUAAAACAAAAAGUGAAAAAAAAAAUAUUUGGGGUUUUCGGUCUUCCUGAAGGUAAUACCCGGGUAUUAGGCUAUGGGGCUAGGGUAAGGUUUUUGGCGUUAGGGUUAAAAUCACUGUCCAAAACCUUUGUAGGAACUCUUUUCCAACCUUUUGGAGUUAGUUACACCAAAAAAAAAAUUGUAAAAUGAAAAAGAAAUAUUUGGGGUGUUUUGGCUUCCUGAAGGUAAUACUCGGGUAUUAGGUUAUGGGGCUAGGGAAAGGUUUAAGGUUUUUGGCGUUAGGGUUAAAAUCACUGUCCAAAACCUUUGUAGGAACUCUUUUCCAACCUUUUGGAGUUAGUUAAACCAAAAAAAAAAAUGUAAAAUGAAAAAGAAAUAUUUGGGGUGUAUGGGCUUCCUGAAGGUAAUACCCAGGUAUUAGGUUAUGGGGCUUUGGUAAGGUUUAAGGUUUUUGGCAUUAUGGUUAAAAUCACUGUCCAAAACCUUUGUCGGAACUCUUUUCCAACCUUUUGGAGUUAGUUAGACCUAAAAAAAACGAAAAAUGAAAAAAAAAUGUUGGGGUGUUCGGGCUUCCUGAAGGUAUUAGGUUAUGGGGCUAGGGAAAGGUUUAAGGUUUUUGGCGUAAGGGUUAAAAUCACUGUCCAAAACCUUUGUAGGAACUCUUUUCCAACCUUUUGGAGUUAGUUAGACCCGAAAGAAAUGAAAAAUGAAAAAAAAAUAUUUGGGGUUUUCGGGCUUCCUGAAGGUAAUACCCGGGUAUUAGGUUAUGGGGCUAGGGUAAGGUUUAAGGUUUUUGGCGUUAGGGUUAAAAUCCCUGUCCAAAACCUUUGUAGGAACUCUUUUCCAACCUUUUGGAGUUAGUUAGACCAAAAUAAAACAAAAAAUGAAAAAAAAAAAAAUUGGGGUGUUCGGUCUUCCUGAAGGUAAUACCCGGGUAUUAGGUCAUGGGGCUAGGGUAAGGUUUUUGGCGUUAGGGUUAAAAUCUCUGUCCAAAACCUUUGUAGGAACUCUUUUCCAACCUUUUGGAGUUAGUUACACCAAAAAAAAAAUUGUAAAUUGAAAAAGAAAUAUUUGGGGUGUUCGGGCUUCCUGAAGGUAAUACCCGGGUAUUAGGUUAUGGGGCUAGUGAAAGGUUUCAGGUUUUUGGCGUUAGGGUUAAAAUCACUGUCCAAAACCUUUGUAGGAACUCUUUUCCAACCUUUUGGAGUUAGUUAGACCAGAAAAAAAUAAAAAAUGAAAAAGAAAUAUUUGGGGUUUUCGGGCUUUCUGAAGGUAACACCCGGGUAUUAGGUUUUGGAGCUAGGCUAAGGUUUAAGUUUUUUGGCGUUAGGGUUAAAAUCACUGUCCAAAACCUUUGUAGGAACUCUUUUCCAACCUUUUGGAGUUAGUUACACCAAAAAAAAAAAUUGUAAAAUGAAAAAGAAAUAUUUGGGGUGUAUGGGCUUCCUGAAGGUAAUACCCGGGUAUUAGGUUAUGGGGCUAGGGUAAGGUUUAAGGUUUUUGGCGUUAGGGUUAAAAUCACUGUCCAAAACCUUUGUAGGAACUCUUUUCCAACCUUUUGGAGUUAGUUAGACCUAAAAAAAAUGAAAAAUGAAAAAAAAAUGUUGGGGUGUUCGGGCUUCCUGAAGGUAUUAGGUUAUGGGGCUAGGGAAAGGUUUAAGGUUUUUGGCGUAAGGGUUAAAAUCACUGUCCAAAACCUUUGUAGGAACUCCUUUCCAACCUUUUGGAGUUAGUUAAACCAAAAAAAAAAUUGUAAAAUGAAAAAGAAAUAUUUGGGGUGUAUGGGCUUCCUGAAGGUAAUACCCAGGUAUUAGGUUAUGGGGCUUUGGUAAGGUUUAAGGUUUUUGGCAUUAUGGUUAAAAUCACUGUCCAAAACCUUUGUCCGAACUCUUUUCCAACCUUUUGGAGUUAGUUGGACCAAAAAAAACGAAAAAUGAAAAAGAAAUAUUUGGGGUGUUCGGGCUUCCUGAAGGUAUUAGGCUAUGGGGCUAGGGAAAGGUUUAAGGUUUUUGGCGUAAGGGUUAAAAUCACUGUCCAAAACCUUUGUAGGAACUCUUUUCCAACCUUUUGGAGUUAGUUAGACCCGAAAGAAAUGAAAAAUGAAAAAAAAAAUAUUUGGGGUUUUCGGGCUUUCUGAAGGUAAUACCCGGGUAUUAGGUUAUGGGGCUAGGGUAAGGUUUAAGGUUUUUGGCGUUAGGGUUAAAAUCCCUGUCCAAAACCUUUGUAGGAACUCUUUUCCAACCUUUUGGAGUUAGUUAGACCAAAAUAAAACAAAAAAUGAAAAAAAAAAAAAUUGGGGUGUUCGGUCUUCCUGAAGGUAAUACCCGGGUAUUAGGUCAUGGGGCUAGGGUAAGGUUUUUGGCGUUAGGGUUAAAAUCUCUGUCCAAAACCUUUGUAGGAACUCUUUUCCAACCUUUUGGAGUUAGUUACACCAAAAAAAAAAUUGUAAAUUGAAAAAGAAAUAUUUGGGGUGUUCGGGCUUCCUGAAGGUAUUAGGCUAUGGGGCUAGGGAAAGGUUUAAGGUUUUUGGCGUAAGGGUUAAAAUCACUGUCCAAAACCUUUGUAGGAACUCUUUUCCAACAUUUUGGAGUUAGUUAGACCGGAAAGAAAUGGAAAAUGAAAAAAAAAUAUUUGGGGUUUUCGGGCUUUCUGAAGGUAAUACCCGGGUAUUAGGUUACGGGGCUAGGGUAAGGUUUAAGGUUUUUGGCGUUAGGGUUAAAAUCACUGUCCAAAACCUUUGUAGGAACUCUUUUCCAACCUUUUGGAGUUAGUUAGACCAAAAUAAAACAAAAAAUGAAAAAAAAAUAUUUGGGGUGUUCGGUCUUCCUGAAGGUAAUACCCGGGUAUUAGGUUAUGGGGCUAGUGAAAGGUUUCAGGUUUUUGGCGUUAGGGUUAAAAUCACUGUCCAAAACCUUUGUAGGAACUCUUUUCCAACCUUUUGGAGUUAGUUAGACCAGAAAAAAAUAAAAAAUGAAAAAGAAAUAUUUGGGGUUUUCGGGCUUUCUGAAGGUAAUACCCGGGUAUUAGGUUUUGGAGCUAGGGUAAGGUUUAAGGUUUUUGGCGUUAGGGUUAAAAUCACUGUCCAAAACCUUUGUAGGAACUCCUUUCCAACCUUUUGGAGUUAGUUAAACCAAAAAAAAAAUUGUAAAAUGAAAAAGAAAUAUUUGGGGUGGUCGGGCUUCCUGAAGGUAAUACCCAGGUAUUAGGUUAUGGGGCUUUGGUAAGGUUUAAGGUUUUUGGCGUUAGGGUUAAAAUCACUGUCCAAAACCUUUGUAGGAACUCUUUUCCAACCUUUUGGAGUUAGUUAGACCUAAAAAAAACGAAAAGAGAAAAAAAAAUGUUUGGGGUGUUCGGGCUUCCUGAAGGUAAUACCCGGGUAUUAGGUUAUGGGGCUAGGGUAAGGUUUAAGGUUUUUGGCGUUAGGGUUAAAAUCACUGUCCAAAACCUUUGUAGGAACUCUUUUCCAACCUUUUGGAGUUAGUUAGACCAAAAUAAAACAAAAAAUGAAAAAAAAAUAUUUGGGGUGUUCAGGCUUCCUGAAGGUAAUACCCGGGUAUUAGGUUAUGGGGCUAGGGUAAGGUUUUUGGCGUUAGGGUUAAAAUUACUGUCCAAAACCUUUGUAGGAACUCUUUUCCAACCUUUUGAAGUUAGUUACACCAAAAAGAAAAUUUGUAAAAUGAAAAAGAAAUAUUUGGGGUGUUCGGGCUUCCUGAAGGUAAUACCUGGGUAUUAGGUUAUGGGGCUAGUGAAAGGUUUAGGGUUUUUGGCGUUAGGGUUAAAAUCACUGUCCAAAACCUUUGUAGGAACUCUUUUCCAACCUUUUGGAGUUAGUUAGACCAGAAAAAAAUGAAAAAUGAAAAAAAAAAUAUUUGGGGUUUUCGGGCUCUCUGAAGGUAAUACCCGGGUAUUAGGUAAUGGGGCUGGGGUAAGGUUUAAGGUUUUUGGCGUUAGGGUUAAAAUCACUGUCCAAAACCUUUGUAGGAACUCUUUUCCAACAUUUUGGAGUUAGUUAGACCGGAAAGAAAUGAAAAAUGAAAAAAAAAUAUUUGGGGUUUUCGGGCUUUCUGAAGGUAAUACCCGGGUAUUAGGUUAUGGGGCUAGGGUAAGGUUUAAGGUUUUUGGCGUUAGGGUUAAAAUCACUGUCCAAAACCUUUGUAGGAACUCUUUUCCAACCUUUUGGAGUUAGUUAGACCAAAAUAAAACAAAAAGUGAAAAAAAAAUAUUUGGGGUGUUCGGGCUUCCUGAAGGUAAUACCCGGGUAUUAGGUUAUGGGGCUAGGGUAAGGUUUUUGGCGUUAGGGUUAAAAUCACUGUCCAAAACCUUUGUAGGAACUCUUUUCCAACCUUUUGGAGUUAGUUACAACAAAAAAAAAAAUUGUAAAUUGAAAAAGAAAUAUUUGGGGUGUUCGGGCUUCCUGAAGGUAAUACCCGGGUAUUAGGUUAUGGGGCUAGGCUAAGGUUUAAGUUUUUUGGCGUUAGGGUUAAAAUCACUGUCCAAAACCUUUGUAGGAACUCUUUUCCAACCUUUUGGAGUUAGUUAGACCUAAAAAAAACGAAAAAUGAAAAAAAAAUGUUGGGGUGUUCGGGCUUCCUGAAGGUAUUAGGUUCUGGGGCUAGGGUAAGGUUUAAGGUUUUUGGCGUUAGGGUUAAAAUCCCUGUCCAAAACCUUUGUAGGAACUCUUUUCCAACCUUUUGGAGUUAGUUAGACCAAAAAAAAAAAAAAUGAAAAAAAAAUAUUUGGGGUGUUCGGUCUUCCUGAAGGUAAUACCCGGGUAUUAGGUUAUGGGGCUAGGGUAAGGUUUUUGGCAUUAGGUUAUGGGGCUAGGGUAAGGUUUUUGGCGUUAGGGUUAAAAUCACUGUCCAAAACCUUUUAGGAACUCUUUUCCAACCUUUUGGAGUUAGUUACACCAAAAAAAAAAAUUGUAAAAUGAAAAAGAAAUAUUUGGGGUGUUUGGGCUUCCUGAAGGUAAUACCCGGGUAUUAGGUUAAGGGGCUAGUGAAAGGUUUCAGGUUUUUGGCGUUAGGGUUAAAAUCACUGUCCAAAACCUUUGUAGGAACUCUUUUCCAACCUUUUGGAGUUAGUUAGAGCAGAAAAAUAAUGAAAAAUGAAAAAAAAUAUAUUUGGGGUUUUCGGGCUUCCUGAAGGUAAUACCCGGGUAUUAGGUUAUGGGGCUAGGGUAAGGUUUAAGGUUUUUGGCGUUAGGGUUAAAAUCACUGUCCAAAACCUUUGUAGGAACUCUUUUCCAACCUUUUGGAGUUAGUUAGACCAAAAAAAAAUUGUAAAAUGAAAAAGAAAUAUUUGGGGUGUUCGGGCUUCCUGAAGGUAAUACCCAGGUAUUAGGUUAUGGGGCUUUGGUAAGGUUUAAGGUUUUUGGCGUUAGGGUUAAAAUCACUGUCCAAAACCUUUGUAGGAACUCUUUUCCAACCUUUUGGAGUUAGUUAGACCAAAAAAAACGAAAAAUGAAAAAAAAUAUUUGGGGUUUUCGGGCUUCCUGAAGGUAAUACCCGGGUAUUAGGUUAUGGGGCUAGGGUAAGGUUUAAGGUUUUUGGCGUUAGGGUUAAAAUCACUGUCCAAAACCUUUGUAGGAACUCUUUUCCAACCUUUUGGAGUUAGUUAGACCAAAAAAAAUGAAAAAUGAAAAAAAAAUAUUUGGGGUUUUCGGGCUUUCUGAAGGUAAUACCCGGGUUUUAGGUUACGGGGCUAGGGUAAGGUUUAAGGUUUUUGGCGUUAGGGUUAAAAUCCCUGUCCAAAACCUUUGUAGGAACUCUUUUCCAACCUUUUGGAGUUAGUUAGACCAAAAUAAAACAAAAAAUGAAAAAAAAAAAAUUGGGGUGUUCGGUCUUCCUGAAGGUAAUACCCGGGUAUUAGGUCAUGGGGCUAGGGUAAGGUUUUUGGCGUUAGGGUUAAAAUCUCUGUCCAAAACCUUUGUAGGAACUCUUUUCCAACCUUUUGGAGUUAGUUACACCAAAAAAAAAAUUGUAAAUUGAAAAAGAAAUAUUUGGGGUGUUCGGGCUUCCUGAAGGUAAUACCCGGGUAUUAGGUUAUGGGGCUAGGGUAAGGUUUAAGGUUUUUGGCGUUAGGGUUAAAAUCACUGUCCAAAACCUUUGUAGGAACUCUUUUCCAACCUUUUGGAGUUAGUUAGACCAAAAUAAAACAAAAAAUGAAAAAGAAAUAUUUGGGGUGUUCGGGCUUCCUGAAGGUAAUACCCGGGUAUUAGGUUUUGGAGCUAGGCUAAGGUUUAAGUUUUUUGGCGUUAGGGUUAAAAUCACUGUCCAAAACCUUUGUAGGAACUCUUUUCCAACCUUUUGGAGUUAGUUACACCCGAAAGAAAUGAAAAAUGAAAAAAAAAUAUUUGGGGUUUUCUGGCUUUCUGAAGGUAAUACCCGGGUUUUAGGUUACGGGGCUAGGGUAAGGUUUAAGGUUUUUGGCGUUAGGGUUAAAAUCACUGUCCAAAACCUUUGUAGGAACUCUUUUCCAACCUUUUGGAGUUAGUUAGACCAAAAUAAAACAAAAAAUGAAAAAAAAAAAAUUGGGGUGUUCGGUCUUCCUGAAGGUAAUACCCGGGUAUUAGGUCAUGGGGCUAGGGUAAGGUGAUUGGUGUUAGGGUUAAAAUCACUGUCCAAAACCUUUGUAGGAACUCUUUUCCAACCUUUUGGAGUUAGUUACACCAAAAAAAAAAUUGUAAAAUGAAAAAGAAAUAUUUGGGGUGUUCGGGCUUCCUGAAGGUAAUACCCGGGUAUUAGGUUAUGGGGCUAGGGUAAGGUUUAAGGUUUUUGGCGUUAGGGUUAAAAUCACUGUCCAAAACCUUUGUAGGAACUCUUUUCCAACCUUUUGGAGUUAGUUAGACCAAAAUAAAACAAAAAAUGAAAAAAAAAUAUUUGGGGUGUUCAGGCUUCCUGAAGGUAAUACCCGGGUAUUAGGUUAUGGGGCUAGGGUAAGGUUUUUGGCGUUAGGGUUAAAAUUACUGUCCAAAACCUUUGUAGGAACUCUUUUCCAACCUUUUGGAGUUAGUUAGACCAAAAAAAUAAAAAAUGAAAAAGAAAUAUUUGGGGUUUUCGGGCUUUCUGAAGGUAACACCCGGGUGUUAGGUUUUGAGCUAGGCUAAGGUUUAAUUUUUUGGCGUUAGGGUUAAAAUCACUGUCCAAAACCUUUGUAGGAACUCUUUUCCAACAUUUUGGAGUUAGUUAGACCUAAAAAAAACGAAAAGAGAAAAAAAAAUGUUUUGGGUGUUCGGGCUUCCUGAAGGUAAUACCCGGGUAUUAGGUUAUGGGGCUAGGGUAAGGUUUAAGGUUUUUGGCGUUAGGGUUAAAAUCACUGUCCAAAACCUUUGUAGGAACUCUUUUCCAACCUUUUGGAGUUAGUUAGACCAAAAAAAAAUAAAAAUGAAAAAAAAAUAUUUGGGGUGUUCGGGCUUCCUGAAGGUAAUACCCGGGUAUUAGGUUAUGGGGCUAGGGUAAGGUUUUUGGCGUUAGGGUUAAAAUCACUGUCCAAAACCUUUGUAGGAACUCUUUUCCAACCUUUUGGAGUUAGUUAGACCAGAAAAAAAAAAAUUGUAAAAUGAAAAAGAAAUAUUUGGGGUGUUCGGGCUUCCUGAAGGUAAUACCUGGGUAUUAGGUUAUGGGGCUAGUGAAAGGUUUAGGGUUUUUGGCGUUAGGGUUAAAAUCACUGUCCAAAACCUUUGUAGGAACUCUUUUCCAACCUUUUGGAGUUAGUUAGACCAGAAAAAAAUGAAAAAUGAAAAAAAUAUAUAUUUGGGGUGUUCGGGCUCUCUGAAGGUAAUACCCGGGUAUUAGGUAAUGGGGCUGGGGUAAGGUUUAAGGUUUUUGGCGUUAGGGUUAAAAUCACUGUCCAAAACCUUUGUAGGAACUCUUUUCCAACCUUUUGGAGUUAGUUAGACCUAAAAAAAACGAAAAAUGAAAAAAAAAAUGUUUGGGGUGUUCGGGCUUCCUGAAGGUAAUACCCGGGUAUUAGGUUAUGGGGCUAGGGUAAGGUUUAAGGUUUUUGGCGUUAGGGUUAAAAUCACUGUCCAAAACCUUUGUAGGAACUCUUUUCCAACCUUUUGGAGUUAGUUAGACCCAAAAAAAAUUAAAAAUGAAAAAUAAAAUAUUUGGGGUUUUGGGCUUCCUGAAGGUAAUACCCGGGUAUUAGGUUUUGGGGCUAGGGUAAGGUUUAAGGUUUUUGGCGUUAGGGUUAAAAUCACUGUCCAAAACCUUUGUAGGAACUCUUUUCCAACCUUUUGGAGUUAGUUAGACCAAAAUAAAACAAAAAAUGAAAAGAAAAUAUUUGGGGUGUUCGGUCUUCCUGAAGGUAAUACCCAGGUAUCAGGGUAAUCAGGCUAGGGUCAGGUUUAAGGUUUUUGGCGUUAGGGUUAAAAUCACUGUCCAAAACCUUUGUAGGAACUCUUUUCCAACCUUUUGGAGUUAGUUAGACCAAAAUAAAACAAAAAAUGAAAAAAAAAAUAUUUGGGGUGUUCGGUCUUCCUGAAGGUAAUACCCGGGUAUUAGGUUAUGGGGCUAGGGUAAGGUUUUUGGCGUUAGGGUUAAAAUCACUGUCCAAAACCUUUGUAGGAACUCUUUUCCAACCUUUUGGAGUUAGUUAGACCAAAAAAAAAAAAGGAAAGGAAAAAGAAAUAUUUGGGGUGUUCGGGCUUCCUGAAGGUAAUACCCGGGUAUUAGGUUAUGGGGCUAGUGAAAGGUUUCAGGUUUUUGGCGUUAGGGUUAAAAUCACUGUCCAAAACCUUUGUAGGAACUCUUUUCCAACCUUUUGGAGUUAGUUAGACCAGAAAAAAAAAAUUGUAAAAUGAAAAAAAAAUAUUUGGGGUGUUCGGGUUUCCUGAAGGUAACCCGGGUGUUAGGUUUUGGAGCUAGGCUAAGGUUUAAUUUUUUUGGCGUUAGGGUUAAAAUCACUGUCCAAAACCUUUGUAGGAACUUUUUUCCAACCUUUUGGAGUUAGUUAGACCAAAAAAAAAAAAGGAAAGGAAAAAGAAAUAUUUGGGGUGUUCGGGCUUCCUGAAGGUAAUACCCGGGUAUUAGGUUAUGGGGCUAGGGUAAGGUUUAAGGUUUUUGGCGUUAGGGUUAAAAUCACUGUCCAAAACCUUUGUAGGAACUCUUUUCCAACCUUUUGGAGUUAGUUAGACCUAAAAAAAAACGAAAAGAGAAAAAAAAAUGUUUGGGGUGUUCGGGCUUCCUGAAGGUAAUACCCAGGUAUUAGGUUAUGGGGCUAGGGUAAGGUUUAAGGUUUUUGGCGUUAGGGUUAAAAUCACUGUCCAAAACCUUUGUAGGAACUCUUUUCCAACCUUUUGGAGUUAGUUAGACCAAAAUAAAAAAAAAAAUGAAAAAAAAAUAUUUGGGGUGUUCGGGCUUCCUGAAGGUAAUACCCGGGUAUUAGGUUAUGGGGCUAGGGUAAGGUUUUUGGCGUUAGGGUUAAAAUCACUGUCCAAAACCUUUGUAGGAACUCUUUUCCAACCUUUUGGAGUUAGUUACACCAAAAAAAAAAAAUCUUAAAAUGAAAAAGAAAUAUUUGGGGUGUUCGGGCUUCCUGAAGGUAAUACCCGGGUAUUAGGUUAUGGGGCUAGGGUAAGGUUUAAGGUUUUUGGCGUUAGGGUUAAAAUCACUGUCCAAAACCUUUGUAGGAACUCUUUUCCAACCUUUUGGAGUUAGUUAGACCUAAAAAAAACGAAAAAUGAAAAAAAAAUGUUUGGGGUGUUCGGGCUUCCUGAAGGUAAUACCCGGGUAUUAGGUUAUGGGGCUAGGGUAAGGUUUAAGGUUUUUGGCGUUAGGGUUAAAAUCACUGUCCAAAACCUUUGUAGGAACUCUUUUCCAACCUUUUGGAGUUAGUUAGACCAAAAUAAAACAAAAAAUGAAAAAAAAAUAUUUGGGGUGUUCAGGCUUCCUGAAGGUAAUACCCGGGUAUUAGGUUAUGGGGCUAGGGUAAGGUUUUUGGCGUUAGGGUUAAAAUCACUGUCCAAAACCUUUGUAGGAACUCCUUUCCAACCUUUUGGAGUUAGUUAAACCAAAAAAAAAAAGAAAAAGGAACAAGAAAUAUUUGGGGUGUUCGGGCUUCCUGAAGGUAAUACCCGGGUAUUAGGUUAUGGGGCUAGGGUAAGGUUUAAGGUUUUUGGCGUUAUGGUUAAAAUCACUGUCCAAAACCUUUGUAGGAACUCUUUUCCAACCUUUUGGAGUUAGUUAGACCGAAAAGAAAUCCAAAAUAAAAAAAUAUAUUUGGGGUGUUCGGGCUUCCUGAAGGUAAUACCCAGGUAUCAGGGUAAUCAGGCUAGGGUCAGGUUUAAGGUUUUUGGCGUUAGGGUUAAAAUCCCUGUCCAAAACCUUUGUAGGAACUCUUUUCCAACCUUUUGGAGUUAGUUACACCAAAAAUGAACAAAAAAUGAAAAAAAAAUAUUUGGGGUGUUCGGUCUUCCUGAAGAUAUUAGAUUAUGGGGCUAUGGAAAGGUUUAAGGUUUUUGGCAUUAUGGUUAAAAUCACUGUCCAAAACAUUUAUUUACUUGCUUAUUUAGUUAUUUACUCAUUUAUUUAUUAUUUCUAUUACUAUUACUAUUAUUAUUAUUAUUAUUAUUAUAAUGUGUAUAUGCAUCUACAUGUGUAUGUAUAUAUAUAUAUAUAUAUAUAUGUAUAUGUGUGUGUAUGUAUGUAUAUAUAUAUAUAUAUAUAUAUAUAUAUAUAUAUAUUUUAUUUAUUAUUAUUAUAAUAUUUUUUUUAUUGUUGUUUCCAUUUGUAUUUGUUAACCCUUUUGUGUCUGUGUAUAUGUGUAUGCAUGGGCAUACAUGUAUAUUUAGAUGUUAAUAUAUAUACAUAUAUAUUUAGUUGUUAUGGGUGUUACUUUAAUGAUGUCUCCUGUUCUGUUAUAACUUCCAUUACUAUCUAUAGUCUUUUUUUUUUAACCCAUUAUUUUAAAUUACUUGCUUAUUAGGUGUUUGUAUGUAUUCAGUUAUUUUUAUAUAUUUAUUUAUGUAUUUAUUUAUUUUUAUGUACAUAUCAUUUAUAUUUUGUGAACUGAUAUAAUUAUAAUUACAUAUAGUAUAUAUAUUGUAUAUUUUCUAUUACUAUAGUUAUUAUUCUAUUUUAUAGUAUGUGUAUGUAUAUUUAUAUUUAUUGUUAUAUACUUAUUAAUAUUUUUUUAUUUAUUAUUUUGUCUUAUUUUAUUCAUAUAUUUUCUUGUAUCUCAACGAUGAUUUGAGUAGAGAUUGUGAUUGCUUUAUGUUUAGCUACAUUGAUGCAUCCGAUCCAACAAGGCAAGUGGUACAAGGAGUAGCACAGUGGCGUACUUUGCAAGCCAGAGAGGAAUGAGUGCAGUUGGUGGUGACUUGGGGAGGGAGGGAGGGAUGUUUUGUGUUUUUGUGUUUGUGUUUGUACUGUUUAAAAGAAAAAUGGAAAUAAAAAAUGUUAAUCAUAAAAAAAAAUCACUGUCCAAAACCUUUGUAGGAACUCUUUUCCAACCUUUUGGAGUUAGUUAGACCUAAAAAAAAUAAAAAAUGAAAAAAAAAUGUUUGGGGUGUUCGGGCUUCCUGAAGGUAAUACCCAGGUAUUAGGUUAUGGGGCUAGGGUAAGGUUUAAGGUUUUUGGCGUUAGGGUCAAAAUCACUGUCCAAAACCUUUGUAGGAACUCUUUUCCAACGUUUUGGAGUUAGUUAGACCGGAAAGAAAUGAAAAAUGAAAAAAAAAUAUUUGGGGUUUUCGGGCUUCCUGAAGGUAAUACCCGGGUAUUAGGUUAUGGGGCUAGGGUAAGGUUUAAGGUUUUUGGCGUUAGGGUUAAAAUCACUGUCCAAAAUCUUUGUAGGAACUCUUUUCCAACCUUUUAGAGUUAGUUAGACCUAAAAAAAACGAAAAAUGAAAAAAAAAUGUUUGGGGUGUUCGGGCUUCCUGAAGGUAAUACCCGGGUAUUAGGUUUUGGGGCUAGGGUAAGUUUUUUUGGCGUUAGGGUUAAAAUCACUGUCCAAAACCUUUGUAGGAACUCCUUUCCAACCUUUUGGAGUUAGUUAAACCAAAAAAAAAAGAAAAAGGAACAAGAAAUAUUUGGGGUGUUCGGUCUUCCUGAAGGUAAUACCCGGGUAUUAGAUUAUGGGGCUAUGGAAAGGUUUAAUGUUUUUGGCGUUAGGGUUAAAAUCACUGUCCAAAACCUUUGUAGGAACUCUUUUCCAACCUUUUGGAGUUAGUUAGACCAAAAAAAAAAUUGUAAAAUGAAAAAGAAAUAUUUGGGGUGUUCGGGCUUCCUGAAGGUAAUACCCGGGUAUUAGGUUAUGGGGCUAGGGUAAGGUUUAAGGUUUUUGGCGUUAGGGUUAAAAUCACUGUCCAAAACCUUUGUAGGAACUCUUUUCCAACCUUUUGGAGUUAGUUAGACCCAAAAAAAAUGAAAAAUGAAAAAAAAAUAUUUUGGGGUGUUCGGGCUUCCUGAAGGUAAUACCCGGGUAUUAGGUUAUGGGGCUAGGGUAAGGUUUAAGGUUUUUGGCGUUAGGGUUAAAAUCACUGUCCAAAACCUUUGUAGGAACUCUUUUCCAACCUUUUGGAGUUAGUUACACCAAAAAUGAACGAAAAAUGAAAAAAAAAUAUUUGGGGUGUUCGGUCUUCCUGAAGGUAUUAGAUUAUGGGGCUAUGGAAUAGGUUUAAUGUUUUUGGCGUUAGGGUUAAAAUCACUGUCCAAAACCUUUUUAGGAACUCUUUUCCAACCUUUUGGAGUUAGUUAGACCUAAAAAAAAUUGUAAAAUGAAAAAGAAAUAUUUGGGGUGUUUGGGCUUCCUGAAGGCAAUACCCAGGUAUUAGGUUAUUGGGCUAGGGAAAGGUUUAAGGUUUUUGGCGUGAGGGUUAAAAUCACUGUCCAAAACCUUUGUAGGAACUCUUUUCCAACCUUUUGGAGUUAGUUAGACCAAAAUAAAAUGAAAAAUGAAAAAAAAUAUAUUUGGGGUUUUCGGGCUUUCUGAAGGUAACACCCGGGUAUUAGGUUUUGGGGCUAGGGUAAGGUUUAAGUUUUUUGGCGUUAGGGUUAAAAUCACUGUCCAAAACCUUUGUAGGAACUUCUUUCCAACCUUUUGGAGUUAGUUAAACCAAAAAAAAAAUUGUAAAAUGAAAAAGAAAUAUUUGGGGUGUUUGGGCUUCCUGAAGGUAAUACCCAGGUAUUAGGUUAUGGGGCUUUGGUAAGGUUUAAGGUUUUUGGCAUUAUGGUUAAAAUCACUGUCCAAAACAUUUAUUUACUUGCUUAUUUAGUUAUUUACUCAUUUAUUUAUUAUUUCUAUUACUAUUACUAUUAUUAUUAUUAUUAUUAUAAUGUGUAUAUGCAUCUACAUGUGUAUGUAUAUAUAUAUAUAUAUAUAUAUAUAUGUAUAUGUGUGUGUAUGUAUGUAUAUAUAUAUAUAUAUUUUAUUUAUUAUUAUUAUUAUUUUUUUUUUAUUGUUGUUUCCAUUUGUAUUUGUUAACCCUUUUGUGUCUGUGUAUAUGUGUAUGCAUGGGCAUACAUGUAUAUUUAGAUGUUAAUAUAUAUACAUAUAUAUUUAGUUGUUAUGGGUGUUACUUUAAUGAUGUCUCCUGUUCUGUUAUAACUUCCAUUACUAUCUAUAGUCUUUUUUUUUUAACCCAUUAUUUUAAAUUACUUGCUUAUUAGGUGUUUGUAUGUAUUCAGUUAUUUUUAUAUAUUUAUUUAUGUAUUUAUUUAUUUUUAUGUACAUAUCAUUUAUAUUUUGUGAACUGAUAUAAUUAUAAUUACAUAUAGUAUAUAUAUUGUAUAUUUUCUAUUACUAUAGUUAUUAUUCUAUUUUAUAGUAUGUGUAUGUAUAUUUAUAUUUAUUGUUAUAUACUUAUUAAUAUUUUUUUAUUUAUUAUUUUGUCUUAUUUUAUUCAUAUAUUUUCUUGUAUCUCAACGAUGAUUUGAGUAGAGAUUGUGAUUGCUUUAUGUUUAGCUACAUUGAUGCAUCCGAUCCAACAAGGCAAGUGGUACAAGGAGUAGCACAGUGGCGUACUUUGCAAGCCAGAGAGGAAUGAGUGCAGUUGGUGGUGACUUGGGGAGGGAGGGAGGGAUGUUUUGUGUUUUUGUGUUUGUGUUUGUACUGUUUAAAAGAAAAAUGGAAAUAAAAAAUGUUAAUCAUAAAAAAAAAUCACUGUCCAAAACCUUUGUAGGAACUCUUUUCCAACCUUUUGGAGUUAGUUAGACCUAAAAAAAAUAAAAAAUGAAAAAAAAAUGUUUGGGGUGUUCGGGCUUCCUGAAGGUAAUACCCAGGUAUUAGGUUAUGGGGCUAGGGUAAGGUUUAAGGUUUUUGGCGUUAGGGUCAAAAUCACUGUCCAAAACCUUUGUAGGAACUCUUUUCCAAUGUUUUGGAGUUAGUUAGACCGGAAAGAAAUGAAAAAUGAAAAAAAAAUAUUUGGGGUUUUCGGGCUUUCUGAAGGUAAUACCCGGGUAUUAGGUUACGGGGCUAGGGUAAGGUUUAAGGUUUUUGGCGUUAGGGUUAAAAUCCCUGUCCAAAAUCUUUGUAGGAACUCUUUUCCAACCUUUUAGAGUUAGUUAGACCUAAAAAAAACGAAAAAUGAAAAAAAAAUGUUUGGGGUGUUCGGGCUUCCUGAAGGUAAUACCCGGGUAUUAGGUUUUGGGGCUAGGGUAAGGUUUUUGGCGUUAGGGUUAAAAUCACUGUCCAAAACCUUUGUAGGAACUCCUUUCCAACCUUUUGGAGUUAGUUAAACCAAAAAAAAAAGAAAAAGGAACAAGAAAUAUUUGGGGUGUUCGGUCUUCCUGAAGGUAAUACCCGGGUAUUAGAUUAUGGGGCUAUGGAAAGGUUUAAUGUUUUUGGCGUUAGGGUUAAAAUCACUGUCCAAAACCUUUUUAGGAACAUGUUUCCAACCUUUUGGAGUAAGUUAAACGAAAAAAAAAUUGUAAAAUGAAAAAGAAAUAUUUGGGGUGUUUGGGCUUCCUGAAGGUAAUACCCGGGUAUAAGGUUAUGGGGCUAGGGUAAGAUUUAAGGUUUUUGGCGUUAGGUUUAAAAUCACUGUCCAAAACCUUUGUAGGAACUCUUUUCCAACCUUUUGGAGUUAGUUAGACCCAAAAAAAAUGAAAAAUGAAAAAUAAAAUAUUUUGGGUUUUGGGCUUCCUGAAGGUAAUACCCGGGUAUUAGGUUUUGGGGCUAGGGUAAGGUUUAAGGUUUUUGGCGUUAGGGUUAAAAUCACUGUCCAAAACCUUUGUAGGAACUCUUUUCCAACCUUUUGGAGUUAGUUACACCAAAAAUGAACGAAAAAUGAAAAAAAAAUAUUUGGGGUGUUCGGUCUUCCUGAAGGUAUUAGAUUAUGGGGCUAUGGAAAGGUUUAAUGUUUUUGGCGUUAGGGUUAAAAUCACUGUCCAAAACCUUUUUAGGAACAUGUUUCAGACCUUAUGGAGUUAGUUAGACCUAAAAAAAAUUGUAAAAUGAAAAAGAAAUAUUUGGGGUGUUUGGGCUUCCUGAAGGCAAUACCCAGGUAUUAGGUUAUUGGGCUAGGGAAAGGUUUAAGGUUUUUGGCGUGAGGGUUAAAAUCACUGUCCAAAACCUUUGUAGGAACUCUUUUCCAACCUUUUGGAGUUAGUUAGACCAAAAUAAAAUGAAAAAUGAAAAAAAGAAUAUUUGGGGUUUUCGGGCUUUCUGAAGGUAACACCCGGGUAUUAGGUUUUGGGGCUAGGGUAAGGUUUAAGUUUUUUGGCGUUAGGGUUAAAAUCACUGUCCAAAACCUUUGUAGGAACUUCUUUCCAACCUUUUGGAGUUAGUUAAACCAAAAAAAAAAUUGUAAAAUGAAAAAGAAAUAUUUGGGGUGUUCGGGCUUCCUGAAGGUAAUACCCAGGUAUUAGGUUAUGGGGCUUUGGUAAGGUUUAAGGUUUUUGGCAUUAUGGUUAAAAUCACUGUCCAAAACAUUUAUUUACUUGCUUAUUUAGUUAUUUACUCAUUUAUUUAUUAUUUCUAUUACUAUUACUAUUAUUAUUAUUAUUAUUAUAAUGUGUAUAUGCAUCUACAUGUGUAUGUAUAUAUAUAUAUAUAUAUAUAUAUGUAUAUGUGUGUGUAUGUAUGUAUAUAUAUAUAUAUAUUUUAUUUAUUAUUAUUAUAAUAUUUUUUUUAUUGUUGUUUCCAUUUGUAUUUGUUAACCCUUUUGUGUCUGUGUAUAUGUGUAUGCAUGGGCAUACAUGUAUAUUUAGAUGUUAAUAUAUAUACAUAUAUAUUUAGUUGUUAUGGGUGUUACUUUAAUGAUGUCUCCUGUUCUGUUAUAACUUCCAUUACUAUCUAUAGUCUUUUUUUUUUAACCCAUUAUUUUAAAUUACUUGCUUAUUAGGUGUUUGUAUGUAUUCAGUUAUUUUUAUAUAUUUAUUUAUGUAUUUAUUUAUUUUUAUGUACAUAUCAUUUAUAUUUUGUGAACUGAUAUAAUUAUAAUUACAUAUAGUAUAUAUAUUGUAUAUUUUCUAUUACUAUAGUUAUUAUUCUAUUUUAUAGUAUGUGUAUGUAUAUUUAUAUUUAUUGUUAUAUACUUAUUAAUAUUUUUUUAUUUAUUAUUUUGUCUUAUUUUAUUCAUAUAUUUUCUUGUAUCUCAACGAUGAUUUGAGUAGAGAUUGUGAUUGCUUUAUGUUUAGCUACAUUGAUGCAUCCGAUCCAACAAGGCAAGUGGUACAAGGAGUAGCACAGUGGCGUACUUUGCAAGCCAGAGAGGAAUGAGUGCAGUUGGUGGUGACUUGGGGAGGGAGGGAGGGAUGUUUUGUGUUUUUGUGUUUGUGUUUGUACUGUUUAAAAGAAAAAUGGAAAUAAAAAAUGUUAAUCAUAAAAAAAAAUCACUGUCCAAAACCUUUGUAGGAACUCUUUUCCAACCUUUUGGAGUUAGUUAGACCUAAAAAAAAUAAAAAAUGAAAAAAAAAUGUUUGGGGUGUUCGGGCUUCCUGAAGGUAAUACCCAGGUAUUAGGUUAUGGGGCUAGGGUAAGGUUUAAGGUUUUUGGCGUUAGGGUUAAAAUCACUGUCCAAAACCUUUGUAGGAACUCUUUUCCAACCUUUUGGAGUUAGUUAGACCGGAAAGAAAUGAAAAAUGAAAAAAAAAUAUUUGGGGUUUUCGGGCUUUCUGAAGGUAAUACCCGGGUAUUAGGUUACGGGGCUAGGGUAAGGUUUAAGGUUUUUGGCGUUAGGGUUAAAAUCACUGUCCAAAACCUUUGUAGGAACUCUUUUCCAACCUUUUGGAGUUAGUUAGACCUAAAAAAAACGAAAAAUGAAAAAAAAAUAUUUGGGGUGUUCGGGCUUCCUGAAGGUAAUACCCGGGUAUUAGGUUAUGGGGCUAGGGUAAGGUUUUUGGCGUUAGGGUUAAAAUCACUGUCCAAAACCUUUGUAGGAACUCCUUUCCAACCUUUUGGAGUUAGUUAAACCAAAAAAAAAAGAAAAAGGAACAAGAAAUAUUUGGGGUGUUCGGUCUUCCUGAAGGUAAUACCCGGGUAUUAGGUUAUGGGGCUAGGGUAAGGUUUCAGGUUUUUGGAGUUAGGGUUAAAAUCACUGUCCAAAACCUUUGUAGGAACUCCUUUCCAACCUUUUGGAGUUAGUUAAACCAAAAAAAAAAGAAAAAGGAACAAGAAAUAUUUGGGGUGUUCGGUCUUCCUGAAGGUAAUACCCGGGUAUUAGGUUAUGGGGCUAGGGUAAGGUUUAAAUGUUUUUGGAGUUAGGGUUAAAAUCACUGUCCAAAACCUUUGUAGGAACUCUUUUCCAACCUUUUGGAGUUAGUUAGACCGAAAAGAAGUCAAAAAUAAAAAAACAUAUUUUGGGUGUUCGGGCUUCCUGAAUGUAAUACCCAGGUAUCAGGGUAAUCAGGCUAGGGUCAGGUUUAAGGUUUUUGGCGUAAGGGUUAAAAUCACUGUCCAAAACCUUUGUAGGAACUCUUUUCCAACCUUUUGGAGUUAGAUACACCAAAAAUGAACAAAAAAUGAAAAAAAAAUAUUUGGGGUGUUCGGUCUUCCUGAAGGUAAUACCCAGGUAUUAGGUUAUGGGGCUAGGGUAAGGUUUAAGGUUUUUGGCGUUAGGGUCAAAAUCACUGUCCAAAACCUUUGUAGGAACUCUUUUCCAACCUUUUGGAGUUAGUUAGACCAAAAAAAAAUGAAAAAUGAAAAAAAAAUAUUUGGGGUGUUCGGGCUUCCUGAAGGUAAUACCCGGGUAUUAGGUUACGGGGCUAGGGUAAGGUUUAAGGUUUUUGGCGUUAGGGUUAAAAUCCCUGUCCAAAAUCUUUGUAGGAACUCUUUUCCAACCUUUUAGAGUUAGUUAGACCUAAAAAAAACGAAAAAUGAAAAAUAAAUGUUUGGGGUGUUCAGGCUUCCUGAAGGUAAUACCCGGGUAUUAGGUUACGGGGCUAGGGUAAGGUUUAAGGUUUUUGGCAUUAGGGUUAAAAUCCCUGUCCAAAACCUUUGUAGGAACUCUUUUCCAACCUUUUGGAGUUAGUUAGACCAAAAUAAAACAAAAAAUGAAAAAAAAAUAUUUGGGAUGUUCGGUCUUCCUGAAGGUAAUACCCGGGUAUUAGGUUAUGGGGCUAGGGUAAGGUUUUUGGCGUUAGGGUUAAAAUCACUGUCCAAAACCUUUGUAGGAACUCUUUUCCAACCUUUUGGAGUUAGUUACACCAAAAAAAAAAUUGUAAAAUGAAAAAGAAAUAUUUGGGCUUCCUGAAGGUAAUACUCGGGUAUUAGGUUAUGGGGCUAGUGAAAGGUUUCAGGUUUUUGGCGUAAGGGUUAAAAUCACUGUCCAAAACCUUUGUAGGAACUCUUUUCCAACCUUUUGGAGUUAGUUAGACCAGAAAAAAAAUGAAAAAUGAAAAAAAAAUAUUUGGGGUUUUCGGGCUUCCUGAAGGUAAUACCCGGGUAUUAGGUUAUGGGGCUAGGGUAAGGUUUAAGGUUUUUGGCAUUAGGGUUAAAAUCACUGUCCAAAACCUUUGUAGGAACUCUUUUCCAACCUUUUGGAGUUAGUUACACCAAAAAAAAAAUUGUAAAAUGAAAAAGAAAUAUUUGGGGUGUUCGGGCUUCCUGAAGGUAAUACCCGGGUAUUAGGUUAUGGGGCUUGGGUAAGGUUUAAGGUUUUUGGCGUUAGGGUUAAAAUCACUGUCCAAAACCUUUGUAGGAACUCUUUUCCAACCUUUUGGAGUUAGUUAGACCUAAAAAAAAUGAAAAAUGAAAAAAAAAUAUUUGGGGUUUUCGGGCUUCCUGAAGGUAAUACCCGGGUAUUAGGUUAUGGGGCUAGGGUAAGGUUUAAGGUUUUUGGCGUUAGGGUUAAAAUCACUGUCCAAAACCUUUGUAGGAACUCUUUUCCAACCUUUUGGAGUUAGUUAGACCAAAAAAAACGAAAAAUGAAAAAGAAAUAUUUGGGGUUUUCGGGCUUUCUGAAGGUAAUACCCGGGUAUUAGGUAAUGGGGCUAAGGUUUAAGGUUUUUGGCGUUAGGGUUAAAAUCACUGUCCAAAACCUUUGUAGGAACUCUUUCCAACCUUUUGGAGUUAGUUAACCAAAAAAAAAAUUGUAAAAUGAAAAAGAAAUAUUUGGGGUGUUCGGGCUUCCUGAAGGUAAUACCCGGGUAUUAGGUUAUGGGGCUUUGGUAAGGUUUAAGGUUUUUGGCGUUAGGGUUAAAAUCACUGUCCAAAACCUUUGUAGGAACUCUUUUCCAACCUUUUGGAGUUAGUUAGACCAAAAUAAAACAAAAAAUGAAAAAAAAAUAUUUGGGAUGUUCGGUCUUCCUGAAGGUAAUACCUGGGUAUUAGGUUAUGGGGCUAGGGUAAUGUUUAAGGUUUUUGGCGUUAGGGUUAAAAUCAAUGUCCAAAACCUUUGUAUGAACUCUUUUCCAACCUUUUGGAGUUAGUUAGACCAAAAUAAAACAAAAAAUGAAAAAAAAAAUAUUUGGGGUGUUCGGUCUUCCUGAAGGUAAUACCCGGGUAUUAGGUUAUGGGGCUAGGGUAAGGUUUUUGGCGUUAGGGUUAAAAUCACUGUCCAAAACCUUUGUAGGAACUCUUUUCCAACCUUUUGGAGUUAGUUACACCAAAAAAAAAUUUGUAAAAUGAACAAGAAAUAUUUGGGGUGUUCGGUCUUCCUGAAGGUAAUACCCGGGUAUUAGGUCAUGGGGCUGGUGAAAGGUUUAGGGUUUUUGGCGUUAGGGUUAAAAUCACUGUCCAAAACCUUUGUAGGAACUCUUUUCCAACCUUUUGGAGUUAGUUAGACCAGAAAAGAAAUCAAAAAUAAAAAAACAUAUUUGGGGUGUUCGGGCUUCCUGAAGGUAAUACUCAGAUAUCAGGGUAAUCAGGCUAGGGUCAGGUUUAAGGUUUUUGGCGUUAGGGUUAAAAUCCCUGUCCAAAACCUUUGUAGGAACUCUUUUCCAACCUUUUGGAGUUAGUUAGACCAAAAUAAAACAAAAAAUGAAAAAAAAAUAUUUGGGGUGUUCGGUCUUCCUGAAGGUAAUACCCGGGUAUAAGGUUAUGGGGCUAGGGUAAGGUUUUUGGCGUUAGGGUUAAAAUCACUGUCCAAAACCUUUGUAGGAACUCUUUUCCAACCUUUUGGAGUUAGUUACACCAAAAAAAAAAUUGUAAAAUGAAAAAGAAAUAUUUGGGGUGUUCAGGCUUCCUGAAGGUAAUACCCGGGUAUUAGGUUAUGGGGCUAGUGAAAGGUUUAAGGUUUUUGGCGUUAUGGUUAAAAUCACUGUCCAAAACCUUUGUAGGAACUCUUUUCCAACCUUUUGGAGUUAGUUAGACCAAAAUAAAACAAAAAAUGAAAAAAAAAUAUUUGGGGUGUUCGGGCUUCCUGAAGGUAAUACCCGGGUAUUAGGUUAUGGGGCUAGGGUAAGUUUUUUGGCGUUAGGGUUAAAAUCACUGUCCAAAACCUUUGUAGGAACUCUUUUCCAACCUUUUGGAGUUAGUUACACCAAAAAAAAAUUUGUAAAAUGAACAAGAAAUAUUUGGGGUGUUCGGUCUUCCUGAAGGUCAUACCCGGGUAUUAGGUUAUGGGGCUAGUGAAAGGUUUAAGGUUUUUGGCGUUAGGGUUAAAAUCACUGUCCAAAACCUUUGUAGGAACUCUUUUCCAACCUUUUGGAGUUAGUUAGACCAGAAAAAAAUGAAAAAUGAAAAAAAAAAUAUUUGGGGUUUUCGGUCUUUCUUAAGGUAACACCCGGGUAUUAGGUUUUGGGGCUAGGGUAAGGUUUAAGGUUUUUGGCGUUAGGGUUAAAAUCACUGUCCAAAACCUUUGUAGGAACUCCUUUCCAACCUUUUGGAGUUAGUUAAACCAAAAAAAAAAUUGAAAUAUGAAAAAGAAAUAUUUGGGGUGUUCGGGCUUCCUGAAGGUAAUACCCAGGUAUUAGGUUAUGGGGCUUUGGUAAGGUUUAAGGUUUUUGGCAAUAUGGUUAAAAUCACUGUCCAAAACCUUUGUAGGAACUUUUUUCCAACCUUUUGGAGUUAGUUAGACCAAAAUAAAACAAAAAAUGAAAAAAAAAUAUUUGGGGUGUUCGGUCUUCCUGAAGGUAAUACCCGGGUAUUAGGUUAUGGGGCUAGGGUAAGGUUUUUGGCGUUAGGGUUAAAAUCACUGUCCAAAACCUUUGUAGGAACUCUUUUCCAACCUUUUGGAGUUAGUUACACCAAAAAAAAAUUGUAAAAUGAAAAAGAAAUAUUUGGGGUGUUCGGGCUUCCUGAAGGUAAUAGCCGGGUAUUAGGUUAUGGGGCUAGUGAAAGGUUUAAGGUUUUUGGCGUUAGGGUUAAAAUCACUGUCCAAAACCUUUGUAGGAACUCUUUUCCAACCUUUUGGAGUCAGUUAGACCAAAAUAAAACAAAAAAUGAAAAAAAAAUAUUUGGGAUGUUCGGUCUUCCUGAAGGUAAUACCCGGGUAUUAGGUUAUGGGGCUAGGGUAAGGUUUUUGGCGUUAGGGUUAAAAUCACUGUCCAAAACCUUUGUAGGAACUCUUUUCCAACCUUUUGGAGUUAGUUACACCAAAAAAAAAAUUGUAAAAUGAAAAAGAAAUAUUUGGGGUGUUCGGGCUUCCUGAAGGUAUGAGGUUAUGGGGCUAGGGUAAGGUUUAAGGUUUUUGGCGUUAGGGUUAAAAUCACUGUCCAAAACCUUUGUAGGAACUCUUUUCCAACGUUUUGGAGUUAGUUAGACCAAAAUAAAACAAAAAAUGAAAAAAAAAUAUUUGGGGUGUUCGGUCUUCCUGAAGGUAAUACCCGGGUAUUAGGUUAUGGGGCUAGGGUAAGGUUUUUGGCGUGAGGGUUAAAAUCACUGUCCAAAACCUUUGUAGGAACUCCUUUCCAACCUUUUGGAGUUAGUUAAACCAAAAAAAAAAAGAAAAAGGAACAAGAAAUAUUUAGGGUGUUCGGGCUUCCUGAAGGUAAUACCCGGGUAUUAGGUAAUGGGGCUAGGGUAAGGUUUAAAUGUUUUUGGAGUUAGGGUUAAAAUCACUGUCCAAAACCUUUGUAGGAACUCUUUUCCAACCUUUUGGAGUUAGUUAGACCAAAAUAAAACAAAAAAUGAAAAAAAAAUAUUUGGGGUGUUCGGUCUUCCUGAAGGUAUUAGAUUAUGGGGCUAUGGAAAGGUUUAAUGUUUUUGGCGUUAGGGUUAAAAUCACUGUCCAAAACCUUUGUAGGAACUCUUUUCCAACCUUAUGGAGUUAGUUAGACCUAAAAAAAAUUGUAAAAUGAAAAAGAAAUAUUUGGGGUGUUUGGGCUUCCUGAAGGCAAUACCCAGGUAUUAGGUUAUGGGGCUAGGGUAAGGUUUAAGGUUUUUGGGGUUAGGGUUAAAAUCACUGUCCAAAACAUUUAUUUACUUGCUUAUUAGGGCCCGAGCGUAGCUGCUAAGCUAAGCUAACCUUUGUAGGAACUCUUUUCCAACCUUUUGGAGUUAGUUACACCAAAAAUAAACGAAAAAUUAAAAAAAAUAUAUUUGGGGUGUUCGGUCUUCCUGAAGGUAUUAGAUUAUGGGGCUAUGGAAAGGUUUAAUGUUUUUUUUGCGUUAGGGUUAAAAUCACUGUCCAAAACCUUUGUAGGAACUCUUUUCCAACCUUUUGGAGUUAGUUAGACCAAAAUAAAAUGAAAAAUGAAAAAAAAAAUAUUUGGGGUUUUCGGGCUUUCUGAAGGUAACACCCGGGUAUUAGGUUUUGGGGCUAGGGUAAGGUUUAAGUUUUUUGGGGUUAGGGUUAAAAUCACUGUCCAAAACAUUUAUUUACUUGCUUAUUAGGGCCCGAGCGUAGCUGCUAAGCAGCUGCGAGAGCCCUAUUAUUCCCCAAGUGGUUUUUCUUUGUUUCUUUAGGGCCCGAGCGUAGCUGCUAAGCAGCUGCGAGAGCCCUAUUAUUCCCCAAGUGGUUUUUCUUUGUUUCUUUCUUUCUUCUUUUUCCUCCCCUUUGAACUGGAAAAUGGCCCACUUCCCACUGGCGAAAACUCAUGAAAUUUGGCAGGAUGACCGGGCCUGGUGAAAAAUUUGAUAUUCCGAAGUCGCCCAAACAAGAAAAUGCAAAAUGGCUCCAUAGCGCCCCCUAAGGUGAAAAUUCACACUAUUGACUGUCACGCCUUUACGCUUUGUCAAAAUGACACAAAAAUUGACACACAUAUGUAUCUCAAUAAGAUCUACAAAAAAGUCAGUGCGGGCGUAUCUGUCAAAUGUACGGUUGAAGGGUUAUUCCGCAUUUUUUGCCGAUCCGCACACAUUGGAAUUUCGCUAACUCCUCCGAAGGCUUUCUUUCCACCGGCACCACAUUUGCUCAGGCCAAUCUACACCCCAUGGCCAUUAAAAGUUAUUCAAAUCAUGACGCUGCACCCCACGGUUUAGGUUCUAGGGGGCGCCAUAGAUAACCCUAAAAUCCACAUAUUUAAAAGUCUUAUAACUUUUUAUUUUUGCCCUCACUGGCCUCCAAGUUUUCUAGGAUGAUGCAAUGUCCAGCCAUCAACACAUUUGUGAAGGAAUUUUUACUCCCCAAAAGAGCGCCCCCCAUGGCCGGAGAAAAAAGUCAAUUAGGGCCCGAGCGUAGCUGCUAAGCAGCUGCGAGAGCCCUCUUGUUCCUGCAUGUUUCCUUCUUUUGUUAGGGCCCGAGCGUAGCUGCUAAGCAGCUGCGAGAGCCCUCUUGUUCCUGAUGGAUUCUUCUUUCGUUAUUUUUCCUCCGCUUUAAACUGGAAAAUGGCCCACUUCCCACUGGCGAAAACUCAGGAAAUUUGGCAGGACGACCGGGCCUGGUGAAAAAUUUGAUAUUCUGAAGUCGUCCAAACAAAAAAAUGAAAAAUGGCUCCAUAGCGCCCCCUAUGGUGAAAACUCACCUGAUGCCUGUCCGCUUUGUCAAAAUGACACAAAAUUUGACACACAUGUGUAUCUCAAUAAGAUCUAUGAAAAAGUCAGUGCGGGCGUAUCUGCCAAAUGUACGGUUAAAGGGCUAUUUCGCUUUUUUUGCCGAUCCGCACACAUUGGAAUUUCGCUAACUCCUCCGAAGGCUUUCGUUCCACCGGCACCACAUUUGCUCAGGCCAAUCUACACCCCAUGGCCAUUAAAAGUUGUACAAAUCAUGAUGCUGCACCCCACGGUUUACUUUCUAGGGGGCGCCAAAGAUAACACAAAAAUCCACAUUUUUAAAAGUCUUAUAACUUUUUAUUUUUGUCCUCACUGGCCUCCAAGUUUUCUAGGAUGAUGCAAUGUCCAGCCAUCAACACAUUUGUGAAGGAAUUUUUACUCCCCAAAAGAGCGCCCCCCCAUGGCAGGAGAAAAAAGUCCAUUUUUUCUUGUCUCCUAAGGUAAAAAUACACAUUGUUGAGUGUCACGCCUAUACACUUUGUCAUAUUGACACACAAUUUGACAAUCACGUGUAUCUCAAUAAGAUCUACAAAAAAGUCAAUAGGCACGUAUCUGUCAAAUGUAUGGUUAAAGGGCUAUUUCGCAUUUUUUGCCGAUUCGCACACAUUGGAAUGUGGCUAUCUCCUCCUAAGGCUUUCGUCCCACCGAUACCAAAUUUGCUCAGGGCAAUCUACACCCCAUGGCCAUUCAAAGUUGUAAAAAUCAUGACGCUGCAUCCCACGGUUUACGUUCUAGGGGGCGCCAAAGAUGACCCAAAAAUCCACAUUCUUAAAAGUCAUUUUGGCCACUGCAGGAGUACAGAGUACUGCAGUUCUAGGGGGCGCCAAAGAUGACCCAAAAAUCCACAUUCUUAUAAGUCUUUUUGGCCACUGCAGGAGUACAGAGUACUGCCGGACACACACACACACACACACACACACACACACACACACACUCAGAGUCUGUUUUUUAGCACCUGCAAAAACAUGCUGUUUACAUAUUUGACAAGAAUGCAGAGGCUUCCUUUUGCCCCUGAAAAAAAUCAAAUUUCAAACACAACUUGACUGUUCAUUUCUCCAAAAGACAACCAUGAAGCUCCAUCCAAACCUGAAGCAGAUAGUUGGUGCAUGUGUACAGUAACCUGAGGAGAGUGAGGUGACUACUUCUGAGGAGAACAUGAGCAGUGAAGAUUCACCUUGGAGCUAGAACAGGGACGUGCACAUGAUUAUACAGGGGCAGGGGCUCAAGUUU
This is a non-coding RNA of Xyrichtys novacula (pearly razorfish), 28999 nucleotides long. The record is from the annotation of a GenBank genome assembly. NCBI's taxonomy places the organism in Eukaryota, Metazoa, Chordata, Actinopteri, Labriformes, Labridae.